CGACACGGAGCCACGUCCCCAGCUCCGUUCCCUCUCACCCCCCUCCCCUCACCGCACACAGCGCAUGCGCCAUUUCCAUGUGCAGCAUCUGGAACAGCAGCGAGUCAUCCAUGGCCACAGUCGCGACUUCCGGGAUUGGACACCACGUGACUGAUCAUGUGACCUGGACUCCGUCCGCGCCGUUCCUGUUCCGCCUCCGCGAGAGCGCGUGGCUGAAGCCCAAGGAUGGCAGCGCCCCAGUACAAAGCAGUGGUUCAAGGGGAAGCAUCUGAGACUGAUUCAGAUGAAGAAGUUUAUCUGUCGUCCGUUCCUCAGGCCUCCUUCCCCAGCCUCUCUGGUGUGAAAGUCCUCGGGGAAGCGUCUGAGACAGAUGAUGAAGACGAAGGGAGCCCAAGUGGGCACAAAGUCAAGUCUAAGCUAGUUGACCUGGACCUGCCUCCCCUGAUUGUCAUCAGGAAGGAGGAGCCAAGGUCUCCUAUGGGAAUAGAAGAGAAACCUGCCCUUCGUAUCCAGCACGAGGGGCGCUACAGCACCUUGCUGCAGCAGAAGCUGAUUGAGAGCAAUGCCCGCUUGUACUACGAUGUCAGCAGCACCAUCAAGCAGGUGUAUCAAAUGGCCACCAAGGAACUCGGCACCAUCACUGCACAGCUUAGCAACUCACAGAGCGCCAUCAUCAAUGCUUCGCACAGUAUCCGCCUCAUUCUGGAUGACUUGCAAGCUGUGGCUGACAAGAUGGACAUCGUCACCAGCUGCAACCUGCUGCCUGAUAUCCAGAUGGAGCUGCCUCCUGCAUAACCUAUCCCUUCUCUUGGAACUAGGGGACCUGAGCUACUCUGUUCUGUUGGCAGCUUGGAGUGCUGGGCUGGUUGGUUACUGAUGGGCACUGGCUUGUCAAAAUGAGGGGAUGUGGAAUAUCAAAUGGAGCUGCUUUAGCCCUGAAGGGUCUUUGUAGUUUUGAUGAUGACAAUACUACCCAGCUAGUCCCAAGCGAAUUAAUGACCAAGAUCUCAGGGAACACUGCUCCCAACAUGCACAAAGGUCUCAUGCAACUGCUGCUUAAUAGAACUGCUGUUAACAUUAUCAUGUGGCUGGAGCUAAUCCCAAGAAAUAAGUGCAGUGGAUGCACUGUAAGGUCUGUGCUUUAGGGUAACACUUUCAGAGUUGUAUGUCCAGCACGUGUCUGAAGGCCAAGGACAGUGCCUGUCCUGUAGCUGAUGAGGGGUCACACAGGGCGGUGUCCUUGGCCUUCUCGUCUUUUCCCUCUACACCGUUUCUUUGUCAUCUCCUCCACUCACCUGGCUUCAAUGACCAUCUUUACACUGAUGACUCAGCCCUACUUGUCCAGUCCUACAUCACCAUCUGUCUCUGUAUCCUCCUUGGUCAUGCCUUCCUUUAGCAUAGUGGUGAGUAUCCCUGCCUGUUAUGCGGGAGACAGGGUUCGAUUUCCUGACAGAGAGGCUUCACUUGAUUAUGUGACGUGGUAGCCUGCAAUACCAGAGGACUGGACAUGAUGACCCAGGAGGUGCCUUACAGUCCUGUGUAUCUUCCUCCUGGAUGUCUUGCUGCUAUCCUAGGCCUAGAUCCCCAGUGGUAUUCAGACUCCUUAACUUCUGUUGAUUGCAAUGGAAAUUAGGACCCUAAAUACCUUUGAGGAUUUGGGCCCUAGCAACCAAAGUCUCCUCUUUCCCUUUGUCUGUCACUGUUCAGAACACCACCAUCAGGCCUGCUACCUGGGUGUCAUAUGUAACUUUUCCCACACCUCACACACCAGGUAGUGACUAAAUCAUGCUGCAGCUUCCUCUGUAACAGCUUGACUUUAAUCUCUGUCCAUCCUAUUCACUCUCUCCUCUGGGCCCUCACCAUCUCCUAACUUGGCUCCUAUAAUCCCCUCCAUGGCAUCCCUGAAACCCACAUUGUUCUCCUGGCCGUUCAUUCAUCGAUUAUAAGGCAAGAUGUGACCAUUAUGAUCAUCUAGUCUGGCCUGUAUCAUGCAGGUCAGAGAACUGCAUCCACUGAUUUCUGCAUCCAGACCACAAACCUUAAUCUUAGCAGCGGAGUUUUGAAUGAUUAGUUCCUUGUAUUAGUGUAGUGUGAUGCCUAGGUGCCUUAGUCAUCCUGGCCUAUUACUUUAACCAUCUCGAACCCGCUUGAAUCCCUCUGCUGGCUCUCACCACUUUUCUGCAUGAGAUUCAAGCUUCUUGUGCUCACCUUUAGCCCCCCACUUAGUCCUUGCCUGUUCCUCUGCUUUUGUAACUUACUGAUUUUGCUCCCCGUCUCCCCAGGAGUCUCAGCCUCAAAUCUCCUUCCCCUUCUGUUCACUUCGCCUACAAGCACCUUUGCCCUAUCUUCCACACCACUCCUUAUGCAGGGAACACUUUCCCUUAACUAGUCUGUUUAAAAACAACCCCCGCCCCAGCUUGUCCUUUAGAUCCCUUCUUAAGAUUCCCUUUUCUUCUGCCUACAUAAGAGCUAAUUGGCUUAGUAAAGGGAGCCCUUGCACUCAGCUUGGCUGCAGUGUGAUAACUUUUGAAGACGGCCUCCAGUUCACUCUGGAAUUUCAGAGAAUGUUCUAAGUAUCAGUGGCAGAAUCCAGUUGAUUUUGAUGAAAAUCAGAAAACUGGAAAAGCCUGAUUUCUGCCGAUCUAAACGGUUUGAUUCUGUAGGCUCUGGACACAUGGGUGAGGCAGUUACUUCCCCCAGGCUUGUGACAGGGGAGCAUCACUCAAUACAGGGAUGAGGCAGUGACAUCAAGGUGAGGUUAGAUUUAGGGAACCAUAGGGAUUCCUUUGCUUGCAGCACCAAAUGAGCACACUGUGGGCCUGGUUUUAGUGGAAAUCAAGCUGCCAGAAGCCUCUUGCCCCUGCAGUCUGGCCAGCACCCCACCCAGCAGACCCUUGCCCCCAACUCUAGCCAGCUGCACCCCCGACUUCAGUUGACACCUUUGCACUGGGGAGAUGAGUUUCUGGGGCCAAGGGGCCCAGCUGGGUGUACACGUCUGCCUAUGUAAGUAACAAGGUGUGACCCUCCAGUGAUUAUUGCAGUUAAUGUCUCACCAGGGUUAAGUAGGUGGCAAGUACUG
Chelonia mydas (Green sea turtle) is the source of this 3079-nucleotide RNA transcript. It is a transcript of the gene named biogenesis of lysosomal organelles complex 1 subunit 3, with no coding region annotated. NCBI's taxonomy places the organism in Eukaryota, Metazoa, Chordata, Testudines, Cheloniidae. The transcript has 3 exons. The record is from RefSeq and is a predicted model, not a curated record.